GACGAACGCUGGCGGCGUGCUUAACACAUGCAAGUCGAACGGAAAGGCCCUGCUUUUGUGGGGUGCUCGAGUGGCGAACGGGUGAGUAACACGUGAGUAACCUGCCCUUGACUUUGGGAUAACUUCAGGAAACUGGGGCUAAUACCGGAUAGGAGCUCCUGCUGCAUGGUGGGGGUUGGAAAGUUUCGGCGGUUGGGGAUGGACUCGCGGCUUAUCAGCUUGUUGGUGGGGUAGUGGCUUACCAAGGCUUUGACGGGUAGCCGGCCUGAGAGGGUGACCGGGCAAAUGGGGGAUGAAGAACGGCCCCAGCCCCCACCGGGGGGAGGCGGGGGGAAUUAUGGAAAAGGGGCGGGAGGCUGAAGGAAGACCCCCCGGGGGGGGAAGGAGGCCUUCGGGUUUGAAACCCCUUUUCCCCGGGGAGGAAGGGGGAGGGAGGGUAGGGGAUAAAGAAGACCCGGCAAACUACGGC
This 469-nucleotide ribosomal RNA is filed under the name uncultured bacterium. RNAcentral's name for it is "partial 16S ribosomal RNA". It matches the Rfam family "Bacterial small subunit ribosomal RNA", at positions 28 to 508 of the family's 1533-position model. The record is from RNAcentral.